CGAACGCUGGCAGCGUGGAUUAGGCAUGCAAGUCGAACGGGAUCGGGAAGGUAGCAAUAUCGGCCCGUGAGAGUGGCGGAAGGGCGAGGAACACGUGAGCAACCUGUCCUUGAGGUGGGAAAACCGUGGAAACGACGGCUAAUACCGAAUGCGGCGCCCGGAGACAUCUCCGGCGCGCUAAAGGGGGCCGCAAGGCUCCCCCUCUUCGAGGGGCUCGCGCACCAUCAGCUUGUUGGCGGGGUAACGGCCCACCAAGGCUCACGGUUAGCUGGUCUGAGAGGAUGGCCAGCCGCACUGGGACUGAGAUACUGCCCAGACUCCUACGGGAGGCUGCAGUCGAGGAUCAUUCGCAAUGGGGGAAACCCUGACGAUGCGACGCUGCGUGGAGGAUGAAGGCCCUCGGGUCGUAAACUCCUGUCAUGAGGGAAAAGGCGAAGGGACCCAACACGUCCCCUAGUUGAUGGUACCUCAAGAGGAACGGGCGGCUAACUCUGUGCCAGCCGCCGC
Molecule: ribosomal RNA, 507 nt
Filed under: uncultured bacterium
Lineage: Bacteria
Description: bacterial SSU rRNA
Rfam family: Bacterial small subunit ribosomal RNA
Source: RNAcentral